CUUAGCUCAAUGGAUAGAGCGUCGGACUUCGAAUCCGCAGGUUGCAGGUUCGAGUCCUGCAGGG
RNAcentral lists this transfer RNA (64 nucleotides) under human gut metagenome. It matches the Rfam family "tRNA", at positions 6 to 65 of the family's 71-position model. Rfam says of the family: Transfer RNA (tRNA) molecules are approximately 80 nucleotides in length. Their secondary structure includes four short double-helical elements and three loops (D, anti-codon, and T loops). RNAcentral also lists the same sequence under 1 other name. The record is from RNAcentral.